CUGCCCAGUGAUUAAGUUUAAACGGCCGCGGUAUCCUAACCGUGCAAAGGUAGCAUAAUCACUUGCCUAUUAAUUGUAGGCUAGAAUGAAUGGAUAAACGUAAUAAAAGCUGUCUCGAUCGUUAUCCUAUAAAUUAACAUCUGUAUGAAGAGUUACAAAUUAAUUCGGAGGACAAGAAGACCCUAUAGAGCUUUAUUUUUAAUAUAGGUAAUGCUAUAUUAUAAAUUCGGUUGGGGCGACCAAGGGCAGUAUAUAUCACCCUGUACUAUAACGAUGCAUUAAUCUAAAAAGUGACCCUAAUAAGAUCAUAAAAAUAAGCUACCUUAGGGAUAACAGGCUAAUCCCAUUUAAGAGUUCAUAUCUACAAUGGGGUUUGGCACCUCGAUGUUGGCUUAGGGAGCCCCUUAGCGCAAAAGUUAAGAAGAGAUGGUUGUUCAACCAAUAA
Molecule: ribosomal RNA, 445 nt
Filed under: Maoridrilus modestus
Lineage: Eukaryota; Metazoa; Annelida; Clitellata; Crassiclitellata; Acanthodrilidae
Description: partial 16S ribosomal RNA
Rfam family: Bacterial large subunit ribosomal RNA
Source: RNAcentral